GGGGCUGACCGGUUUUGACAGCAGCGUGAGGGGACAGUAAGCAUGCAGGCUCAAGCAUCAGAAGCCUUGAAAACGGAUGCAGAACAAUAAUUGGCGAAAAUAACUACGCUCUUGCUGCCUAACCGAAGCACAGUAGGUUAGCUUAAUCCCCGCAACAGUUGUGGGGACAAGACAUCUCCCGGAGACCUCGCUCUCUGGCGUCCGACAAGGAGGUGCUCAGAAAAGAGAGAUAGCCGAAGGCCAGCUUCGAGCCGACGGUGAAGAUUUAGAAGCUAAGGUUGGCGUUGGGUGCCGAUGUCCAUCACCAACACGAAAACCAAUCACCGGAUAAGCAUGUAGAAAGCUUUUCUGUCAACUGUUUGGACGAGGGUUCGACCCCCUCCAGCUCCACU
This 392-nucleotide transfer-messenger RNA is filed under the name bovine gut metagenome. It matches the Rfam family "transfer-messenger RNA". Rfam says of the family: Bacterial tmRNA, also known as 10Sa RNA or SsrA, is named for its dual tRNA and mRNA-like properties. Its role is to liberate the mRNA from a stalled ribosome. The record is from RNAcentral.